AACGAACGCUGGCGGCAUGCCUAACACAUGCAAGUCGAACGAGACCUUCGGGUCUAGUGGCGCACGGGUGCGUAACGCGUGGGAAUCUGCCCUUUGCUUCGGAAUAACAGUUAGAAAUGACUGCUAAUACCGGAUGAUGUCUUCGGACCAAAGAUUUAUCGGCAAAGGAUGAGCCCGCGUAGGAUUAGGUAGUUGGUGGGGUAAAGGCCUACCAAGCCGACGAUCCUUAGCUGGUCUGAGAGGAUGAUCAGCCACACUGGGACUGAGACACGGCCCAGACUCCUACGGGAGGCAGCAGUGGGGAAUAUUGGACAAUGGGCGAAAGCCUGAUCCAGCAAUGCCGCGUGAGUGAUGAAGGCCUUCGGGUCGUAAAGCUCUUUUACCAGGGAUGAUAAUGACAGUACCUGGAGAAUAAGCUCCGGCUAACUCCGUGCCAGCCGCCGCCGUAA
This 449-nucleotide ribosomal RNA is filed under the name uncultured bacterium. RNAcentral describes it as "partial 16S ribosomal RNA". It matches the Rfam family "Bacterial small subunit ribosomal RNA", at positions 29 to 523 of the family's 1533-position model. The record is from RNAcentral.